This 253-nucleotide ribosomal RNA is filed under the name uncultured bacterium. Its description in RNAcentral is "partial 16S ribosomal RNA". It matches the Rfam family "Bacterial small subunit ribosomal RNA", at positions 524 to 776 of the family's 1533-position model. The record is from RNAcentral.
UACGUAGGGUGCGAGCGUUGUCCGGAAUUAUUGGGCGUAAAGGGCUCGUAGGCGGUCUGUCACGUCGGGAGUGAAAACUCAGGGCUUAACCCUGAGCCUGCUUCCGAUACGGGCAGACUAGAGGUAUGCAGGGGAGAACGGAAUUCCUGGUGUAGCGGUGAAAUGCGCAGAUAUCAGGAGGAACACCGGUGGCGAAGGCGGGUCUCUGGGCCGAUACUGACACUGAGGAGCGAAAGCGUGGGGAGCGAACAGG